UGAAUACGAGAUGCUACGGCAUUGAAGUAGUGUAUGUCAGACUUCCAAGAAAAGCUCGCAAUGUCAUAAAUAAAUAAUGCCUGUACCAUAACCGACACAGGUGGGUAGGUAGAGUAUACUAAGGGGCGCGAGAUAACUCUCUCUAAGGAACUCGGCAAAAUGACUCCGUAACUUCGGGAGAAGGAGUGCCUCAUUUAUGAGGUUGCAAUAACAAGAUCCAAGCAACUGUUUACCAAAAACACAGGUCUCCGCUAAGUCGUAAGACGAUGUAUGGGGGCUGACGCCUGCCCAGUGCCAGAAGGUUAAAGAAGUUGGUUAGCAUCCGCGAAGCUGAUAACUGAAGCCCUGGUGAACGGCGGCCGUAACUAUAACGGUCCUAAGGUAGCGAAAUUCCUUGUCGGGUAAGUUCCGACCCGCACGAAAGGCGUAAUGAUUUGGAUUCUGUCUCAGAGAGGGACUCGGUGAAAUAGACUUGUCUGUGAAGAUGCGGACUACCUGCACCAGGACAGAAAGACCCUAUGAAGCUUUACUGUAACUUGAAAUUGAAAUUGGACUUUAGUUGCGCAGUAUAGGUGGGAGGCGUUGAGUUUAUUCUUGCGGGAAUUUAGGAGCCAUCAGUGAGAUACCACUCUGCUAAUGUUAGAUUUCUAACUUUGCAUCAUAAUCUGGUCAAAGAACAGUUUCAGGCGGGCAGUUUGACUGGGGCGGUCGCCUCCUAAAUGGUAACGGAGGCGUACAAAGGUUUCCUCUGAACGUGUAGAAAUCGUAUCUAGAGUAUAAAGGCAUAAGGAAGCUUGACUUAGACUUACAAGACGAGCAGGGACGAAAGUCGGUCUUAGUGAUCUGACGGUGCUGAGUGGAAAGGCCGUCACUCAACGGAUAAAAGUUACUCUAGGAUAACAGGCUGAUCUCCCCCAAGAGUUCACAUCGACGGGGAGGUUUGGCACCUCGAUGUCGGCUCAUCGCAUCCUGGGGCGGUAGUACGUCCCAAGGGUUGGGCUGUUCGCCCAUGAAAGCGGUACGCGAGCUGGGUUCAGAACGUCGUGAGACAGUUCGGUCCAUAUCCGGUGUAGGCGUUAGAAUAUUGAGAGGAGCCUUCUUUAGUACGAGAGGACCGAGAAGGACAUACCUCUGGUGUACCAGUUAUCGUGCCAACGGUAAACGCUGGGUAGCUAUGUAUGGAGUGGAUAACCGCUGAAAGCAUCUAAGUGGGAAGCCCACCUCAAGAUAAGUAUUCUCAUCACGUAAGUGAGUAAGGUCACGGUAAGACUAACCGUUUAAUAGGCAUCAAGUGUAAAUGUAGUAAUAUAUGAGCUGAGAUGUGCUAACAGAC
RNAcentral lists this ribosomal RNA (1333 nucleotides) under metagenome. Its description in RNAcentral is "bacterial LSU rRNA". It matches the Rfam family "Bacterial large subunit ribosomal RNA", at positions 1564 to 2909 of the family's 2925-position model. The record is from RNAcentral.